CAAAUUAUUUUGCUUCCCACUGUGACAUUAUGGGUUUGAACUACUAAUUGUAGUAAUCAUAAUAACAGCUAGCAUUAAUUGAGGAUUUACUUUGUGCCAGUCCCUUCCUUAAAGGACUUUAUAUUCAUUAUCUCAAGCUAACUUAUGUAACAAUUAUAUGGCAUAGAUACCAUCGUUAUCCUCAUUUUUCUGGUUAAAAAAUUGGGUCAGGUUUUGGGUCAGGGCACAGAGAGAGGGCACUUGCCCAUCUCACAGCUUUUAAGUGGCAGAGUUGGGACUUGAACCUACUUCAUCUGAUGCCUGAGCCUUAAGAACGCAGAUGCCUUGAUGUCCUAUCCUUCAGCACAUACAAAACAAAACAAGCAAACACAUUAGAAUGAACGUGGAAUAAAUACGAAAGACCCUAUCUAGCCUGAGAGUCAACUUUGAGUGCAACUUUGAGUCAAAGACCACGGAGGGGAUGCAUGGAGUAUUAGGACAAUUCUGAGGCAUGUUCUCCAUGAUAUCUCAGAGGUCUCCAGUGGAACCGAUCCUCAGUUUCCUGAAGAAGUAACCAACUCAGUAACACACCCUGCCAACAUUCCCAUCUCUGUCGUGACUCCCUCACUUAAGAUCACCUUGCAAAUAAGUCA
This is a long non-coding RNA of Herpailurus yagouaroundi (jaguarundi), 632 nucleotides long. RefSeq lists it as uncharacterized. The record is from RefSeq and is a predicted model, not a curated record. The transcript is spliced from 3 exons. Lineage: Eukaryota; Metazoa; Chordata; Mammalia; Carnivora; Felidae.